Molecule: RNA transcript, 2905 nt
Organism: Cyprinus carpio (common carp)
Lineage: Eukaryota; Metazoa; Chordata; Actinopteri; Cypriniformes; Cyprinidae
Gene name: protoporphyrinogen oxidase
Exons: 14
Source: RefSeq, a predicted model, not a curated record
CUCACUGUUGCCGCUUCACUACUUCACAAGACUCUUGUGUAACUAAGUAACAGCAGAAGCCGCGCUAUCCAAACCACACAAUUAUAUCCAGUUUUGUUGCAGGUGUGGAAGUGUUUGGAGCUGAAUGCAGAAGGUCGUAGCUGUGCUUGGUGGGGGGAUUGGGGGUCUGUCGGCCUGUCAUCAUCUGAGCAAGAGUCCUAAUGUUUCCAAGAUUGUGCUGUUGGAGAGAUCUGGGAGAUGUGGGGGUUGGUUGAGCUCCAUACGGAGGGAUGACGGGGCCGUGUUUGAACAGGGACCAAGAGGGGUGCGACCUGCAGGUGCUGUCGGCCGGAACACUUUGAAUAUGGUCUCUGAGUUGGGUCUUGAGUCUGAAAUCCUGCCUGUUACAAAGGAUCAUGUGGCGUCUAAGAACCGCUUCCUGUAUGUGAAGGGACAGCUGCACAAGAUGCCAUCAGGACCUGGUGGGGUAGUCCGCACCAUCCCUCCUUUCUCUCGACCCAUAAUUCAGAGCGUUCUGAAGGAGAUACUGAUCAGGAAAGGGACAGAGGAGGAUGAAUCCGUGCAUGCAUUUGUGUCCAGACGACUGGGUUCUGAGUUGGCAAAUAUAGCCAUAGACAGCCUGUGUAGAGGAGUUUUUGCUGGAGACAGCAGACAGUUGAGUGUACGCUCCUGCUUUCCACCUCUUUAUGAAGCAGAGCGGUCUCGGGGCUCCAUCGUGCUGGGCAUGCUAAUGGGUUCAGGAGGUGGUCCUAAAGUAGUCCCUUCUGACUUGGCAAAGAGAGCAUCUAAAGAGUCUUGGACUCAAUGGUCUCUUAAAAGAGGCAUGCAGGCAUUCCCAGAAGCCUUGGAGGACACGCUGAAGAGACAAGAGCGAGUGGAGCUUCAUCAUCAUGCCAAAGUGAAGAGUCUGAAUAUGAACAGUGAAGGCUGGGAGAUCAAACUAGAUAAUGGGGUCUCUUUGAAAGCAGAUCAUGUGAUUUCUACACUACCUGCAUCUGAAUUAGCCUCUGUACUGCCCCCUGCUGCUCAGCCUCUGUUGGAAGAGCUGCGAUCCAUCGCUUUAGUAACCGUUGCUGUGGUGAAUUUGGAAUAUGAAGGUUUCAUCCUUCCUGUUACUGGCUUUGGACAUUUGGUGCCUUCCUCUGAAGAUCCAGGUCUGUUGGGGGUGGUGUACGACUCUGUUCCCUUUCCACAACACAAUCGGAGUGGAGGACUGACCACUAGACUGACGGUGAUGAUGGGGGGUGCAUGGUUUGAGCAGACGUUUGGUCAUCCUGAUUCAGUGACGAAGCAGACGCUGUUGGAUCGAGCCACCCAGGCUGUGACCUCUCACCUGGGCGUAAACUCUCAACCUGUAUGGAGUUACGUCGGUUUACUCAAGAACUGCAUUCCGCAGUAUCAUUUAGGACACUGGAAACGACUCGAAAAGAUGAGGCAAUACAUCAGCAACCACAAUCUGCCCCUUACACUGGCGGGAGCUUCCUACGAUGGUGUCUCUGUCAAUGAUGUUAUAUUUAGUGGACGGACUGCAGCUGAGGGUCUCAUUGGGAAAACAUGACUUAAACUAACUUUUAAUUUUGUCUGCUUUUAUUGAAUAUUUUAGGUUUUGUGAUAUCCAUUCUGUGAUUGCUGAGAAGCAUCUGAAAAAAAUGCACACUACCAUAUGAACAACAUGUUUUACUUGAACCCAAAAUGGAAAUCAAGAGAGCAUCCAAUUGUUUGGUUCAUCACACAUGAGGGAGUUCCUCUGGAGGCCGAACUGUCCAUCAGCGGUCUCCUGUUGCCCCUAUUGUUUGUCACAAUGCAGAUUUCCUAACACCAGAACGGAGCAUCUGAGUGUGACCUCUGGUCAGCUGAAGUGUGGACAACCAGUGAGGCGAAUAGAAAGAAACAAGAGAUAAUCCUCCCCCGAUGCCUCAUUAGAAGAAGAUGAUGAAAAAUCUAGGAGAAAAAUGACAAGGCUUGAUUGCUCAGAGCAUAAAAACGCUUAAUUUACUGUUGUCGAAUGCUAAAAGGCCUGCAAAUUGUUCCGUAAUUAAAGGAGAAGGCAUAGUUAUGCCUGUUUGAAAUUCAUAUGGUGCAAUGGGGUCUCAGAAGGAGCUUUAGUGUUCGUACAGUAUUGAGGUGCUGGUUUUAAAUGUUCAAUCAGCGCAGUGAAUUGAGGAAGGAAAGCCUUCGGGGCUGCCGUCGUUCAUGAACUGCUGCCCACCUCCCACAACUCUCCAAACCUUGGCUUGGUGGAAUAAUGGUCCUGUAUCUUAUUCUCCCAGUGUUUUGUUCCAUGUUCCAAGUCAUAUUAACAAAGAAUUAUUGCCUGCGAAUGCAAUUAUCUGCAAAGCUGCUGAGGACAUUAAACCCCACUCUUCGGUAGGCAGCAUAGUCAGUCUCGCCAUGCUCAUAAUCCACAGGAGUUUAAUUAAUCAGAAAGUUAUAGUGUUUUGCAGAAUGGGGGGGUGCGCUUCAGAUCAGUUUAUGACAGCGGAAAAAUCUCUUUCUCUCUUGCCUACGCUUUUUUGCGGUGGACUAGCUAAAAUAUUAAUAGAGCUCAUAGGCGCUGGAACAUCUCCCAUAAUGAAUACAUGAUCGUUGGUGACGGUCCCCGGCCCCUCACCCUAUUUCUCCCGACAGGGACUGAAUUUUUCAAUCCCUGAAACUGAUUGGUGUGUAAUAAUUGCUAUAUUUUCCCCUUCCGUUCUCAUCUCCUGUCUGAGCUGUGACUGAUAGAGGUGGAUAUUAAUUGGAAUAGUGGAGCGGAGUUGUGUGGAUAGGUGAGGAAGAAGCAGAGCUUGGCCCAUUAGAAGUCCUGUCACUCAUCACAUGUCCUACACCUGUCCUGCAAACUCAAGGUAGAUUCAUUCCUGGAGAUGGUAGGUGGUCUUUUCCAGCUGAGGCUGGAUACAAAUUC